Long non-coding RNA from Arabidopsis thaliana (thale cress), 4517 nucleotides. RefSeq annotates it as other RNA. The transcript has a single exon. The record is from RefSeq. Lineage: Eukaryota; Viridiplantae; Streptophyta; Magnoliopsida; Brassicales; Brassicaceae.
AAUAGAUUGUUACGAAAGCGAUCUGCUAAAACAGAACUUAUCAAGAUAUUUUAUUUUAAGAGAAAAAACAUUUUAAGCUGCUUAUCUGAUCUUGGACUCUGUUGCAAAAUAGUUGAAACAAUGAUUUACAUGUUCUGCAAUGUUUCUGAACAAUGUGUUUGUUUACGUGAUAACUGCAGAUAUCAUUAGAGACUCAAGUGAUAAGAGUCAACAUUUCUACUUUCAACUGUAUGACUGAACUGGAUUUAUUUGCUGACUUCAAGGUGAUGCGACAAAGUCAAAUUUCUGCAGAAUAGCAAGAAAUGUUCAUAUGAGAAUCGCAAAAAGUUCGGAAAUUGCAGAGAAGUGUGUGUGUGUGUGUGUGUAUGUGUAGAUACAUACCUUUGGAGGAGUUUGCUUCUUCUAGAGGAGUUUCUGAUGUAAUGGAUGAGGAAGAAAGGCUACUUGAUCCCCGAGCUUCUGUAAUCAUAGCGACCACUUCUCUCAUAGUUGGUCUACUAGCUGGAGAAUUGCUGGUGCAGAACAGUGCAAUCUUUAGGACAAGAGACAUUUCAUGAACUGUUCUCUUAUCAUUUGUAUCUAGCCUCGCAUCAAACAUUUCAAUGGUUGGAAUCAUGUUACGGAUCGAUCGUCGAACCCAAUUGACUAGAUCCCCUCCUUGCUCCAGCGGUUGAACUGGGGGCUUUCCUGUUAUUAGCUCCAGAAGCACAACUCCAAAGCUAUAGAUAUCACAUUUCUCUGUCACCUUCAUCGUGUAAGCAUAUUCUGAAACACAGCAAAACAUCAAUUAGAUAUGUUAGAUAAGCGAUUGUGGGAAGAAAGAAAACUGUGAUGUUUUACUCACCUGGAGCGAUGUAUCCGUAAGACCCAGCAACAGCUGACAUGGACUUUGAGUAAGAGAGAUCAAUCAACUUAGCCAGGCCAAAAUCUCCAACAUGAGCCUGGAACCGUUCAUCAAGAAGAAUGUUGUUCGAUUUUAUGUCGCGAUGGACUAUUUGAGGUCUGCAAUCAUGAUGGAGAUAACACAAACCCUCUGCAGCACCGAGGGCGAUUCUAUACCGAGCAUUCCAAUCCAACAAACAGUUUUUCUCACCUCGCUGUAGUUGUUCGCCGAGGCUUCCUUUUGACAUGUACUCAUACAAGAGAAGAUUUGAAUUCUGGUGAUAGCAGAAACCAUAUAGCUUCACAAUAUUCCGGUGCCUUAUCUUUCCAAGAGUUGAUAUCUCAGCUCUGAAACUAUUAUCAGAACUAGCUCCUUCACCGCGAGAAUUCAGCUUCUUUACAGCUAUCACCUCGCCACCUGACAUUUCAGCUUUGUAGACUGUUCCACACGCUCCUCUCCCUAAAACCACGUCUUCGGAAAAGUUUCUGGUUGCAUCCACGAGGCCUUGAUAUGUGAAACCUUUUUUAGGGAAAUAGUAGCUGUCCAUGACAUCUGGUUUUGUUUGAUCCUCAAGUGCAACAAACGCUGGUUCCCGCCGCUUUAUUGUCCAACAGAGACCAAGAAAAGUGAUAAGAAAAACCGACCCGAUUACAAUACAAGUGAUUGUCAAGAUCUUUUGCCUUUGCGAACCGUUGAUUAACCAAUUUAGCUUUGAAUCAGAAUGUGGGACAAGUGGUUGACAAUGGCUUCUCUGAGAGUUACACAAACCAUGGUUUCCAGCAAAGUUCGAUGAAUCCAUCCGCUGGAACACGGCUGUGUCUGGUACUGUUCCGACCAAGUUAUUGUUUGAGAUAUUGCAGAUGAGGAGGCUCAUGAGAUUCCCAAUUGAUGCAGGGAUCUCACCUGAAAGCUUGUUGUCGUUGAGGUAAAGUAUCUCCAACAUCUGUAGAUUUCCUAAACUGUCUGGAAUAGUACCUGAGAGAUUAUUGUGACUAAUGUUGAGGGAGAUUUGCAGAGAGGUUAACUUCCCGAGCUCCACUGGGAUGUUUUCAGACAAGAGAUUGCCUCCUAGUUGUAACUCCAUGAGCCGAGUAAGAUCUCCAAAGCUAUGAGGAAUUUCUCCGGUCAAUCUAUUAUCAGACAAUCUCAAAAUCUCCAAAUAUACCAACUGACCAAGCUCUUGUGCUAUGUAUCCGGAAAACUUGUUGCCACUAAGGUCAAGCCUCUGGAUAGUGACACAACUUCCCAACUCUUUAGGGAUGUGACCAGUGAGCUGAUUGGAGGAGAUGUUAAAGCCAACAAUCUUUGUGAGAUUCCCAAUCUCAGGAGGAAUUUCACCAGUAAAAUUGUUGUUAGCUAGACGCAGUCUUUCCAAAUUCUUCAGCUUUCCCAGGUCUGCAGAUAUAUUCCCUGAUAACCAGUUUUGGUGAAGCUCUAAUGCAGUAAGGUUCUGAAGAUUAAAUAAUUCAAUGGGAAGGCUUCCUGUUAGCUGGUUAUCGCCUAGCAUUAGCUUUGUCAGUGACUUGCAGGUUUUCAGAUCACGAGGGAUGUUUCCUGAUAACUUGUUUGAACCAAGACUCAGAAGUAUUAGCGUCUGAAAUCUGCAGAAGUGGGCAGGAAUUGGACCAGACAGAGAAUUGGCAGACAUGUCAAGAACAGAAAAAUUGCUAUAGAAACCGAUUAAAGGAGGUAUCUUCCCUUCAAGCUGGUUGUCAAAAAGCUGCAAAUCUACAAGGUAAGGUAGGAACUGAAGCUCUUGCGGGAUAGUACCGUUUAGUCUAUUGAUAGACAAGUCUAGCUUCUCCAACAGUGUCAAUUCCCCAAGCUCCCUAGGAAUUGGACCUAGAAGAAUGUUCUCAAAAAGAUGAAGUAAUUUGAGAUUCAGGAUAUGACCAAACUCUUUUGGUAUGAAACCUGUUAACUGAUUCUCCGAAAAAUCUAUCUCAGCUGCAUCUAUCAAGUUGCCUAUUUCGCGAGGUAUCUCUCCGGUUAACUGGUUUGUGUAAAGGUACAGCCUUUUCAUCUUUGUGAGCUUCCCAAUCUCUCUUGGAAUUGAUCCCGUGAAGUAGUUUUCAUGCAGCGCAAGCACCUCCAGUCUGCUGAUGUUUCCUACGGAAGGAGGUAUCUCACCAGAUAGACGGUUUUGCCAGAGUAUCAAAUCAGUAAGAUUUUGAAGCUUCUCGAGCUGCUUAGGAAGAGAACCCUCAAGAAGAUUCUCUGCUAAUCCAAGUACCUUUAGGCUCUCGCAUCCGCUGAUUUCAGACGGAAUCACACCCGAGAAUCCAUUCCGUCCUGCCCUAAUGAUCCGGAGCUGUCUCAAUUUCGCCAUGGAAGGAGGGAUUACACCGGUGAGAUUAUUGCUGUAGAUCACAAGCUCUUGGAGUGAACUCAAAUUACCGAUUUGUCUAGGGAUAGAACCGAAAAGAUAAUUCUCGCAUAGAUACAGCUUCUUAAGAGUGAUGAUCAUGGUUAGCUGAAUUGGUAUCACUCCAUGGAACCUAUUUGUGCAGAGAUCAAGAACCUCUAGACUUCGACAGAGAGAUAAAUCUUGAGGGAUUGGACCAGAGAUGAAGUUGGUGGAGACAUUCAAUUUCCUUAAACCAUGAAGCUUGCAUAUGAGAGGAGAUAGUGUACCUGAUAGAUUCAUCCCAUUUAGAUCAACAGAAGUUACAGUUCUGAGAUGGGUACACGCGAUUCCGGUCCAGUUGCAGGGAUUUGAAUCCAACUGAUUCCAGCUUGCGAGAUAGCCAUUGGAGUCAUUAAGGAAAGCUUUAAACUCCAGAAGAACACGCCCUUCUUCGUUUAAGGAUCUUACUAAGAUGAAGGAGAAAGAACAGAGAAUCACUAUUGCCAAGAAACAUAUCCUCCCUCUCAUUUUUACAAGUUAGCUUUGGUAAGAACACAGAGUGAUCGCUGAACACAUAUGAAAAAAAAAAAAAAAAAAGAAUGGCGAAACGAAACGUCGAUUUGGGCAGUCACGGAAUGGUUUUGGUUAAAAGGUAAAAAGAUGAGAUUGAGAUGGGCAAAAAAGACUGACUUUGAUUGAUCAAGGAAGACUAUCUGCAAAACACUUUGGAAAGGUCUCUCUCUGUCUCUACAAUAAGUCAACUCUGUUUUUAAUUCUCUUUGUCGACGACAUCGUCUCUUUCUCCGAUUUGGUUCAUCAUAUUUUUGAGCUGCAAGUGGUUUCAAAUCACGUGUGGGUUUGUAGUACAGAUCCAUUGAAUAAAAAUGUUGGGAUCCUUUAUAGUGUUUCUCUGGGUUGUCAAUAGAAGAAAACAGAGGAUUUUGUUUGUUGGGACGGUGAGGAUUUGAUGAAGACGACACGUGAAAAAGGAUGGAUGAUUCAGGACAAUGAUCUUUAAAGUGUAUUGUUUGCUUUAAUUUCUUGGUGAUGGGUGUGAGAGAGCGUUGGAGUCUGUGAGCUCAUGAUUUUUAUCGUUGACCGUUAAAGAGCCACGCACGCACACACAAGUGGAAGUCAUUGCUGUCUUUUUCGCGCCCAUCUUGUUGUCUGUUAAUUUGCCACUCAAGCUAUGUUCUUACACUUUUACCCCUUUCUCAUCUCAAUCUCUAUCCAUCCUCUCAUCUUUAAUUUACAAGCGUAUUUUCGUCAAAAUUAAGAAGGCAUAUU